AGGCGACUGGUGAAAUAUUUUGACCAAUUUUAUGCGUAGUAAUGUUCGCGUUUGAUUUAGAACGUGAGUGUGAAUUGGUUAAGAUAUUGCAUCGUUCGCUUG
RNAcentral lists this microRNA precursor (102 nucleotides) under Manduca sexta (tobacco hornworm). Its description in RNAcentral is "microRNA mse-mir-2768 precursor". The record is from miRBase by way of RNAcentral. Lineage: Eukaryota; Metazoa; Arthropoda; Insecta; Lepidoptera; Sphingidae.